RNAcentral lists this transfer RNA (77 nucleotides) under Marinilabiliales bacterium. Its description in RNAcentral is "tRNA-Ser". It matches the Rfam family "tRNA". Rfam says of the family: Transfer RNA (tRNA) molecules are approximately 80 nucleotides in length. Their secondary structure includes four short double-helical elements and three loops (D, anti-codon, and T loops). Further hydrogen bonds mediate the characteristic L-shaped molecular structure. tRNAs have two regions of fundamental functional importance: the anti-codon, which is responsible for specific mRNA codon recognition, and the 3' end, to which the tRNAs corresponding amino acid is attached (by aminoacyl-tRNA synthetases). tRNAs cope with the degeneracy of the genetic code in two manners: having more than one tRNA (with a specific anti-codon) for a particular amino acid; and 'wobble' base-pairing, i.e. permitting non-standard base-pairing at the 3rd anti-codon position. Lineage: Bacteria; Pseudomonadati; Bacteroidota; Bacteroidia; Marinilabiliales. The record is from RNAcentral.
GGAGAAAUGGCCGAGUGGUCGAAGGCGCACGCCUGGAAAGUGUGNNGGUAUCAAGGGUUCGAAUCCCUUUUUCUCCG